Long non-coding RNA from Lycium ferocissimum, 2489 nucleotides. RefSeq lists it as uncharacterized. The record is from RefSeq and is a predicted model, not a curated record. The transcript is spliced from 3 exons. Lineage: Eukaryota; Viridiplantae; Streptophyta; Magnoliopsida; Solanales; Solanaceae.
GUUAAGGCUCUUAAGCUUGAGUUUUAUGAUUUAACUGGGAACACAUGGGAUCGAUGGUAUAAAGGAAAGUUUGUUAAAUUGGAUAGGAAGAUGUUCCUGUUGAAGAUAAAUUAUCGAAGUGAACUGGAUUACUUUAAGAUUGAGGAGGUUGAAGACGUCCAAGAACAACUUCUUGUUAACAUGGAAUAUUUAAGGUAAACCAUCUGUCUAUUUGUAUUUUAAUUGUUUAUUAUACUAGUAUAUUAUUAAAACUUUUGUUCGUACAGGAUCCUUAUAAAAUAAUUAUCGUUCCUACAAGAUAGACGAUAAUUUGAUCUGUAAAAGAUUAAUCGAGGCAGCUAAGGAUAUCACUCUACAUAAAAUAUAUUGCGGUAUAUAUUUGUAUAUAGUUUGGAAAAAUUGCUAGGAAGAAUUUAAACAUUGCUUUUCAUGUUGCAAAUCGUAUUCUAGAUGCAAGUAUAAAACGUUCACCGAUGAUGGCUGAGAUAUCGUAUCAUCGAAAGGAUUUGUUGAUUUAUCCAGUUAUUAAUGACGUUCCGAACUUCAGCUUGUUAAGCAGGGUUUCGUGGUUAAUUACUCCACAAGCUGAUAUUACUAUACAACUAUGUGACCUCCAUCAUUCAUCAGUACUAAGAAAACCACACAUAUAUAUUUUGGAUUCAUUGUUCGAGGUGCUUAAUCAAAUGACAAACCAUCAUUUAAAACUUCAGUUGAUCGCCUAUGGUUUCCAAAGCCUUGUGCAAUUAAUAUAAUCAUUUGGUGUCUGAUACUCUAGGCGCUAUUGGUAUAUUCGCUAUCUUAUUAAUUUCUAACAUUGAUUCUAAAGAAACAUUUCUUAAGCUCCAACAAGUUCUCAAAUUAUGACAUUUGCUUUUUAGAUGCGGAGAACCAGGUAAUGUAUCCAUUUUGAUAAUCUGUCUAUUUUAUCUUUUUAGAUAUUUUUGAUUAUAAUCCUUGUAUUUUUUGAAUUUUUUAUUAUUUGAUUUUAGGUGCAUCAUUCUUAUGUAGAUCAUCCGAUUAUUAUUUGUCAAUACUCUUGAGAAAAUUUACAACUAAUACUAAACAUGGGUCGAGUGUUUUAAUUGGUGCACUUUUGUCAUGAACCUUGUUCAAUGUAUUAUUUUUUUCUAUUUGAUAAGCAUUGUAAAGAUUACUCUGCACCGUGAACCUUGAUUUAGUGCAUUAUUGUUUUUUAAUUUGAUAACUUUUGUGCAUAUUAUUAUACUCUGCACCAUCGAUGUAGUGGUUCCACGUCAGGACGAGAACAAGCCCAAGAUGAUCCAUGAAAGUUAGAGGAGUAAGAAGGAAAUAUCUCCUAUCGGCUUUAAGGAAAUGGACUGGGAUAGAUAUAGUUUCAUAAGUUUCUAUCAUUACCUUGAUUGUGUGGUAUAAAUUAUUUGCGUUUUGUUUAGACAUAAACUGAACUUUGUUAAAUUUAAAAACAAAAAAAUAGUGUGGCAAGGUAUAAAAGUAUUUAACACAAUCUUGUGAAAGUGAAAAUUGCAGCGCAUAGAGAGAGGUGGAGGGAAGAAAGAGAUUGUGGUAGGGAGUCGAACUGUAGGGGAGAAAGAGCAGGGAUAAGGGCAGGAUGCAGUUUGGCAAAGAGGGUUUGGGCAAGUAGAGAAACUCAAACGUUGGAAGUAGAAAUUCUGGCGGGUGAUAGCAUGCUACUCAAGCUAAGUGGCCAUAGGUAGUUUCUCGAGGACCUGUUUGUUCAUGCGUUAGAGGUUGUAUUUACAUAUUACUACAUACAUUGUAAAAUGUACCUAUAAAGGAUCAGUAGACAAUGUUGUGAUAAGCGAAAUGUACGACAUAUUUGAAAAUAAAGGAAUGUACUGCAUAGCCAGGCCUGUAGAUGAAUGAAGAGUAGGUGCAACACAUGAGAUGCUUCCCCUUAGUCAUUAUGUACAUUCUGUGCAAGGAGAGAAAUAAGAAAGUUUUUGAUGGAUUAGAGAAUGACUUUGUACUAGUUUAUUUUUAUUUAAUUUCUGAUCACUCAUGAGGUCCUUGUUUUGUGAUUUUAUCUAUUUAAUUAUAUUUCUGAAAAAUAGAAUCAACAAUUUCUUCUUCCAUACUUGUGAUAGUUGUUGUCGGAGCAUAUUUCCAUUUAUCAAUUAACUUAUGUGAUUGGCGUUCUUUACAGGUCAAAAUGCAGUUAGUGCUACCUACUAAAUGGUAAGAUAUUACCUACAUGUUUUUAAUUGUAACAUUAUGUGCAAAUGUGAAUAUUUCGGCGCUUCUUCUUUGAUCUUGUUUUUGGGCUCUUCUGUCCUCUUGGCAUGAUAAAUACGAUGUCUUAUUCUUUUUCCAAUCAAGUGCUCUUUCUCCGUGGAAUUGUGUAAUUAGGAAUAAGAUAUACUUUCUCUUAUUUUUAUGUUAUUUUGAAACAAUAUAUAAAUCGUGAAAUACUUGAAAGAAUAAUCAAACCAAAAUAGGAACAAUCUUUUUUCUUAUUAACUUCAUAUGUAUCUUAAUAAGCACAUUCCUAC